Molecule: ribosomal RNA, 252 nt
Filed under: uncultured bacterium
Lineage: Bacteria
Description: partial 16S ribosomal RNA
Rfam family: Bacterial small subunit ribosomal RNA
Source: RNAcentral
UACGUAGGGGGCAAGCGUUGUCCGGAUUUACUGGGCGUAAAGAGCGCGCAGGCGGUCGUUCAAGUCGAGUGUGAAAGCCCCCGGCUCAACUGGGGAGGGUCACUUGAUACUGAUCGACUCGAAGGCAGGAGAGGGAAGCGGAAUUCCCGGUGUAGUGGUGAAAUGCGUAGAUAUCGGGAGGAACACCAGUGGCGAAGGCGGCUUCCUGGCCUGUUCUGACGCUGAGGAACGAAAGCUAGGGGAGCAAACGGG